UUACCGUAUUCUUGCUCACAAGCAAAGUUUACGUCAAAGAGAAAAACUCGAUGCGACUGUCAGAGAACCGCUCGAGGCGCGCGGGUAUCGGCUGUAUGGCCUCCGCGCGCCGAUGGUUAUUAUGUCGCGAUAAAUUUCCACGACGCUCCCGAUUCGUUCACAUACGCGAUUGCGCCUCGGCGGGGCCCCUAGUGGUGGGCCCCGUCGCACUGGCUUGCUUGAGCGGAACGAGUGACGGAGCAGGUGACUYUGGGAGAUGGCCCAAAACAGGGAUGGCCAGAUGAAGUGUCGGUAUCGGACGCAAACACCCAUAARAUCGCUGCGACAAACGCCCGCUCGACCAGUGCAUUGAUUCARAGCGCGGCGCGGAGUUUCGCCUUUCUUCGUGGUGAGCUGAUAGUAAUGCGGGUGGAGCGCCUAACAAGCGCUCCUCUCUCCGCGCCGACGCGACCCGGUGGUCGACUCAUACCGUCUAACCCAUGCCUCCACUCCGGUGGUGUAAAAGGCGACUUGAUGGAUGAUGGAGUUUAAAACCGCGCUGCGGCAGAGAGAAAAGAAAAAAAAUCUCUUUAGCGUGUCUCUUGGAGACGUCGCGACCAGAGAUGGGAUUUUUUUUUGUUUUCUUUCACGCCGCUAUGUGGACUCCCAAUUUCUUCGGAAGUAUUCCUCUCGAAUAUUUUUUCGUCGCCGCGCGGUUCGCCGCACUGGCCUCGAGAAAAAUAUUUAAAACAAAAA
Molecule: unclassified non-coding RNA, 735 nt
Filed under: Frankliniella intonsa
Lineage: Eukaryota; Metazoa; Arthropoda; Insecta; Thysanoptera; Thripidae
Description: partial miscellaneous RNA
Source: RNAcentral